CUACGGGAGGCUGCAGUGGGGAAUCUUGUGCAAUGGGCGAAAGCCUGACACAGCAACGCCGCGUGCGGGAAGAAGGCCUUCGGGUCGUAAACCGCUUUCAGCAGGAACGAAAAUGACGGUACCUGCAGAAGAAGGUGCGGCCAACUACGUGCCAGCAGCCGCGGUGACACGUAGGCACCAAGCGUUGUCCGGAUUUAUUGGGCGUAAAGAGCUCGUAGGCGGUUCAGCAAGUCGGGUGUGAAAACUCUGGGCUUAACCCAGAGCCUGCACCCGAAACCGCUGUGACUAGAGUUCGGUAGGGGAGCGGGGAAUUCCUGGUGUAGCGGUGAAAUGCGCAGAUAUCAGGAGGAACACCGGUGGCGAAGGCGCCGCUCUGGGCCGAAACUGACGCUGAGGAGCGAAAGCGUGGGUAGCAAACAGGAUUAGAUACCCGGGUAGUC
This 440-nucleotide ribosomal RNA is filed under the name uncultured bacterium. RNAcentral describes it as "partial 16S ribosomal RNA". It matches the Rfam family "Bacterial small subunit ribosomal RNA", at positions 339 to 795 of the family's 1533-position model. The record is from RNAcentral.